GUGAUUUUCUUUUUUUUUUAGGUUUUCUUGAUGGGAAUGUGGUUUACUGCUCACGGUUUUUUCUAUUUUUUUUUUUGGGGUGGAAUGUGGUUUCUAGGAUCCGGAUCUGGUAUUUUCUUUAAAUGCCGUUACAUCUUAUGCUCUUCUGGUUUCAUCGGAAGCAACUCUUCUCUUUGUCGUGAUUACAUGUGGGACAACAAUUGAUCAGGGGAUUGCUUACGUGCUGAUGUUGGUGGCCUUGGUCCUCACUUACCUCAUUCAUCCGCUCAACCCUGCUGAGCCUUCCUCUCUCUUCUGAAGAGAGAAACAGCCUCCCCCCCUCUCUCUUUCUCUAUGUAUCAAAAUGUCUGGUUGGUUGCACUCCUUUUGAUGGUUUUUGAUGGCUUGUCUGUGCUGUUAUUCUAUCUUUCUCUUGUGAGUUUUUUUGUUAUUUUUAUUUUAUGUUAAUUCACAUUGACUUGGUUGUUAUAGUUUUCUCUUGGAGGACCUCUAAGAGCUUAGGGCAGACAUUUAUUUUUUGGGCAGGCUUUUCUAUA
Amborella trichopoda is the source of this 536-nucleotide non-coding RNA. The record is from RefSeq and is a predicted model, not a curated record. Lineage: Eukaryota; Viridiplantae; Streptophyta; Magnoliopsida; Amborellales; Amborellaceae.